AUUGAACGCUGGCGGCAUGCCUUACACAUGCAAGUCGAACGGCAGCACGGGUGCUUGCACCUGGUGGCGAGUGGCGAACGGGUGAGUAAUACAUCGGAACGUACCUUAUCGUGGGGGAUAACGCAGCGAAAGCUGUGCUAAUACCGCAUACGCCCUGAGGGGGAAAGCGGGGGAUCGCACGACCUCGCGCGAUUAGAGCGGCCGCUGCCUGCUUAGCUUGUUGGUGGGGCAAAAGCCCGACAAGGCGGCUAUCAGUAGCUGGGCUGAGAGGACGAUCAGCCACACUGGGACGUAGUCAUGGGCCAGACUCCUACGGGAGGCAGCAGUGGGAAAUUUUGGACAAUGGGGCCAACCCUGAUCCUGCAAUGCCGCGGGAGGGAAGAAGGCCGUAGGGUUGUAAAGCUCUUUUGUCAGGGAAGAAACACCGGCUCUAACACAGUCCGGGAAUGACGGUACCUGAAGAAUAAGCACCGGCUAACUACGUGCCAGCCGCCGCGGUAA
This 501-nucleotide ribosomal RNA is filed under the name uncultured bacterium. RNAcentral describes it as "partial 16S ribosomal RNA". It matches the Rfam family "Bacterial small subunit ribosomal RNA", at positions 29 to 523 of the family's 1533-position model. The record is from RNAcentral.